This 846-nucleotide ribosomal RNA is filed under the name Aspergillus niger. RNAcentral's name for it is "partial large subunit ribosomal RNA". It matches the Rfam family "Eukaryotic large subunit ribosomal RNA", at positions 67 to 928 of the family's 3401-position model. The record is from RNAcentral. Lineage: Eukaryota; Fungi; Ascomycota; Eurotiomycetes; Eurotiales; Aspergillaceae.
AACCGGGAUUGCCUCAGUAACGGCGAGUGAAGCGGCAAGAGCUCAAAUUUGAAAGCUGGCUCCUUCGGAGUCCGCAUUGUAAUUUGCAGAGGAUGCUUUGGGUGCGGCCCCCGUCUAAGUGCCCUGGAACGGGCCGUCAGAGAGGGUGAGAAUCCCGUCUUGGGCGGGGUGUCCGUGCCCGUGUAAAGCUCCUUCGACGAGUCGAGUUGUUUGGGAAUGCAGCUCUAAAUGGGUGGUAAAUUUCAUCUAAAGCUAAAUACUGGCCGGAGACCGAUAGCGCACAAGUAGAGUGAUCGAAAGAUGAAAAGCACUUUGAAAAGAGAGUUAAACAGCACGUGAAAUUGUUGAAAGGGAAGCGCUUGCGACCAGACUCGCCCGCGGGGUUCAGCCGGCAUUCGUGCCGGUGUACUUCCCCGUGGGCGGGCCAGCGUCGGUUUGGGCGGCCGGUCAAAGGCCCCUGGAAUGUAGUGCCCUCCGGGGCACCUUAUAGCCAGGGGUGCAAUGCGGCCAGCCUGGACCGAGGAACGCGCUUCGGCACGGACGCUGGCAUAAUGGUCGUAAACGACCCGUCUUGAAACACGGACCAAGGAGUCUAACAUCUACGCGAGUGUUCGGGUGUCAAACCCGUGCGCGCAGUGAAAGCGAACGGAGGUGGGAGCCCCCUUGCGGGGCGCACCAUCGACCGAUCCUGAUGUCUUCGGAUGGAUUUGAGUAAGAGCGUAGCUGUGGGGACCCGAAAGAUGGUGAACUAUGCCUGAAUAGGGCGAAGCCAGAGGAAACUCUGGUGGAGGCUCGCAGCGGUUCUGACGUGCAAAUCGAUCGUCAAAUUUGGGUAUAGGGGCGAAA